Non-coding RNA from Podarcis lilfordi (Lilford's wall lizard), 69 nucleotides. Lineage: Eukaryota; Metazoa; Chordata; Lepidosauria; Squamata; Lacertidae. The record is from the annotation of a GenBank genome assembly.
CAGUAGCUCAGUGGUAGGGCCUCUGCCUUGUAUGCAGGAGGUCACAGGUUCGAUCCCCUGUGGGAAGGG